UUGGAGGGCAAGUCUGGUGCCAGCAGCCGCGGUAAUUCCAGCUCCAAUAGCGUAUAUUAAAGUUGUUGCCGUUAAAAAGCUCGUAGUUGAACCUUGGGUCUGGCUGAUCUGUCCUUCUAAUCGAGCGCACGGAUUCGGUCGGACCUUUCCUUCUGGGGAGCCGCAUGCCCUUCACUGGGCGUGUCGGGGAACCAGGACUUUUACCUUGAAAAAAUUAGAGUGUUUAAAGCAGGC
RNAcentral lists this ribosomal RNA (234 nucleotides) under uncultured fungus. RNAcentral's name for it is "partial 18S ribosomal RNA". It matches the Rfam family "Eukaryotic small subunit ribosomal RNA", at positions 548 to 785 of the family's 1831-position model. The record is from RNAcentral. Lineage: Eukaryota; Fungi.